GGCUCAGAUUGAACGCUGGCGGCAUGCCUUACACAUGCAAGUCGAACGGCAGCACGGACUUCGGUCUGGUGGCGAGUGGCGAACGGGUGAGUAAUGUAUCGGAACGUACCUUUCAGUGGGGGAUAACGUAGCGAAAGUUACGCUAAUACCGCAUAUUCUGUGAGCAGGAAAGCAGGGGAUCGCAAGACCUUGCGCUGAUUGAGCGGCCGAUAUCAGAUUAGCUAGUUGGUGAGGUAAAGGCUCACCAAGGCGACGAUCUGUAGCGGGGUCUGAGAGGAUGAUCCGCCACACUGGAACUGAGACACGGUCCAGACUCCUACGGGAGGCAGCAGUGGGGAAUUUUGGACAAUGGGGGCAACCCUGAUCCAGCCAUGCCGCGUGAGUGAAGAAGGCCUUCGGGUUGUAAAGCUCUUUCGGCCGGGAAGAAAUCGCAUGGGCUAAUACCCUGUGCGGAUGACGGUACCGGCAUAAGAAGCACCGGCUAACUACGUG
Molecule: ribosomal RNA, 492 nt
Filed under: uncultured bacterium
Lineage: Bacteria
Description: bacterial SSU rRNA
Rfam family: Bacterial small subunit ribosomal RNA
Source: RNAcentral